UCGACAGAUUAUUGUAUUCGACUGUAUUCACGGCGUGAAACAGGGGAUUACACUGUUUUUAAAACGGAAAGUGAAUCAAUUAACAUAAUAGACUCCU
Nicotiana sylvestris (wood tobacco) is the source of this 97-nucleotide non-coding RNA. Lineage: Eukaryota; Viridiplantae; Streptophyta; Magnoliopsida; Solanales; Solanaceae. The record is from Rfam.